AGUGAACGCUGGCGGUAGGCCUAACACAUGCAAGUCGAACGGCAGCACAGUAAGAGCUUGCUCUUACGGGUGGCGAGUGGCGGACGGGUGAGGAAUACAUCGGAAUCUACUUUUUCGUGGGGGAUAACGUAGGGAAACUUACGCUAAUACCGCAUACGACCUACGGGUGAAAGCAGGGGAUCUUCGGACCUUGCGCGAUUGAAUGAGCCGAUGUCGGAUUAGCUAGUUGGCGGGGUAAAGGCCCACCAAGGCGACGAUCCGUAGCGGGUCUGAGAGGAUGAUCACCCACACUGGAACUGAGACACGGUCCAGACUCCUACGGGAGGCAGCAGUGGGGAAUAUUGGACAAUGGGCGCAAGCCUGAUCCAGCCAUACCGCGUGGGUGAAGAAGGCCUUCGGGUUGUAAAGCCCUUUUGUUGGGAAAGAAAAGCAGCAGGUUAAUACCCCGCUGUUCUGACGGUACCCAAAGAAUAAGCACCGGCUAACUUCGUG
Molecule: ribosomal RNA, 492 nt
Filed under: uncultured bacterium
Lineage: Bacteria
Description: partial 16S ribosomal RNA
Rfam family: Bacterial small subunit ribosomal RNA
Source: RNAcentral